CCACUGCUGGGAUCAAAGUGUUCAGCCAUGUGCCAAGGCAGGCUGACACAGAGCCUGUGCUAGAAGAAGUAUGUCUUGGUGCAGUGGGGUGCAGGGAAUCAUGCAGAUAACCGUGCAGAGGGUCAAGUGGGAAGAGUAAGGAGAAGGUGAAAUAUAAGAGAAUGAAGCAGGAGCUGAGAGGAUUUACAGCAGGAAGGCAAGGCUUCAAGGAGCUUCCAGGAUUCCAACCUCACUGAAUGGAGGGACUAUGCCUUGUUUAUCUCAAGCACCCAUCACACUGUUUGACAGUAAGUGCUCAAAAAUGCUUUAUGAAGGAAUAAAUACAAUCAUACGCCAGGUCUGCCUCCAUCUACAUGUGUUAUCUUAUCACCUACAUUUUGUCUUCAUUUAAGUAGCAAACAGGUGAGGAAGGGGUGUAAAUCCAAUGAUUUCAUCCUGCUCUAAAGUUCUCUGAGGAUCACGUGAGCAUCAAAGUCUGUCUGAACCCUGAUCAAGAUGUCUGCUGAGCUUCCUUUCCAGGCCAGAUGCACACAAAGUACCAACGGUUUGUGAUACAAUAAAAUCAACAACAGCUUUGCAAAUAAAAAUUGCAUGGCAGAGCUUCAAGAUGGCGGAAGAGUAAGAUGUGGAGAUCACCUUCCUCCCCACAAAUACAUCAGAAAUACAUCUACAUGUGGAACAACUCCUACAGAACACCUACUGAAUGCUGGCAGAAGACCUCAGACCUCCCAAAAGGCAAGAAACUCCCCACCUACCUGGGUAGGGCAAAAGAAAAAAGAAAAAACAGAGACAAAAGAAUAGGGAUGGGACCUGCACCUCUGGGAGGGAGCUGUGAAGGAGGAAAGGUUUCCACGCACUAGGAAGCCCCUUCACUGGUGGAGUCAGGGGGUGGCGGAAGGGGGAAGCUUCAGAGCCACGGAGAGCGCAGCAACAGGGGUGCAGAGGGCAAAGCGGAGAGAUUCCCACACAGAGGAUGGGUGCCAACCAGCACUCACCAGCCCGAGAGGCUUGUCUGCUCACCCGCCGGGGUGGGUGGGGGAUGGGAGCUGAGGCUCGGGCUUCAGUCGGAUCACAGGGAGAGGACUGGGGUUGGCGGCGUGAACACAGCCUGAAGGGGGCGAGUGCACCACAGCUAGCCGGGAGUGAGUCCGGGAAAAAGUCUGGAGCUGCUGAACAGGCAAGAGACUUUUUCUUGACUCUUUGUUUCCUGGUGCACGAGGAGAGGGGAGUCAGAGCGCCACUUAAAGGAGCUCCAGAGAUGGGCGCGAGCCGCGGCUAUCAGCGCGGACCCCAGAGACGGGCAUGAGACGCUAAGGCUGCUGCUGCCGCCACCAAGAAGCCUGUGUGCAAGCACAGGUCACUCUCCACACCGCCCCUACCGGGAGCCUGUGCAGCCCGCCACUGCCAGCGUCCCGGGAUCCGGGGACAACUUUCCCAGGAGAACGCACGGCGCGCCUCAGGCUGGUGCAACGUCAUGCCGGCCUCUGCCGCCGCAGGCUCGCCCCGCACUCCGUACCCCUCCCUCCCCCCGGCCUGAGUGAGCCAGAGCCUCCGAAGCAGCUGCUCCUUUAACCCCGUCCUGUCUGGGCGGGGAACAGACGCCCUCAGGCGACCUACACGCAGA
Long non-coding RNA from Balaenoptera acutorostrata (minke whale), 1624 nucleotides. RefSeq lists it as uncharacterized. The transcript has 3 exons. Lineage: Eukaryota; Metazoa; Chordata; Mammalia; Artiodactyla; Balaenopteridae. The record is from RefSeq and is a predicted model, not a curated record.